This 569-nucleotide ribosomal RNA is filed under the name Colletotrichum gloeosporioides. RNAcentral describes it as "eukaryotic LSU rRNA". The stretch from base 204 to 357 matches the Rfam family "5.8S ribosomal RNA". Lineage: Eukaryota; Fungi; Ascomycota; Sordariomycetes; Glomerellales; Glomerellaceae. The record is from RNAcentral.
UUCCGUAGGGGUACCUGCGGAGGGAUCAUUACUGAGUUUACGCUCUACAACCCUUUGUGAACAUACCUACAACUGUUGCUUCGGCGGGUAGGGUCUCCGCGACCCUCCCGGCCUCCCGCCUCCGGGCGGGUCGGCGCCCGCCGGAGGAUAACCAAACUCUGAUUUAACGACGUUUCUUCUGAGUGGUACAAGCAAAUAAUCAAAACUUUUAACAACGGAUCUCUUGGUUCUGGCAUCGAUGAAGAACGCAGCGAAAUGCGAUAAGUAAUGUGAAUUGCAGAAUUCAGUGAAUCAUCGAAUCUUUGAACGCACAUUGCGCCCGCCAGCAUUCUGGCGGGCAUGCCUGUUCGAGCGUCAUUUCAACCCUCAAGCUCUGCUUGGUGUUGGGGCCCUACAGCUGAUGUAGGCCCUCAAAGGUAGUGGCGGACCCUCCCGGAGCCUCCUUUGCGUAGUAACUUUACGUCUCGCACUGGGAUCCGGAGGGACUCUUGCCGUAAAACCCCCCAAUUUUCCAAAGGUUGACCUCGGAUCAGGUAGGAAUACCCGCUGAACUUAAGCAUAUCAAAACC